UUCAACCAGCCACACGCAUCGGGAAGCAAACAAUGUAUUGAACCAAAGGGUGUGCUUGACCACAGAACCCAGCGAGUCAGAUGGAUUCUCUCCGUUUGCAGGGUGGUUUCUGUGACGUGGGCCAAGCGGCUUUGGCUGCUGCACAUACUCUGUGAGAACUCAAAAAGGACACUACACUUCAAUGGAGAGGGAGUUCUUGGCAAACGUGCACCUUUCCAGAGCCUCCAGGAACAAGAGCUGCAUCUUUCAAGGAGGAAUUGAGCUCUGCAAGUCCCCAGGCACCCGAUGAUGCUUUUGCUUCUGGAUCACUUACUCUGGGGGAAGCCAGCUGAGAGGUCAGGAAGAUACCCAAGCUGUCCUAUGGAGAAGUCCAGGUGGUAAGAAGUGUAGGCCCCCUACCUACAGCCACAAGAACUAGUGGUCUUAGAAGCAAGCUGCUAGCCUCAUCUCAGGUGACUGGAGCCCCUGCUGACAUUUUGACUAUAACCUCAUGAUAGAUCAUGAGCCAGAAGCCAAUUCUGAGUUCCUGACUCACAGAAACUGUGA
Manis pentadactyla (Chinese pangolin) is the source of this 546-nucleotide long non-coding RNA. RefSeq lists it as uncharacterized. Lineage: Eukaryota; Metazoa; Chordata; Mammalia; Pholidota; Manidae. The record is from RefSeq and is a predicted model, not a curated record. The transcript is spliced from 3 exons.